This 1341-nucleotide unclassified non-coding RNA is filed under the name Hevea brasiliensis (rubber tree). Lineage: Eukaryota; Viridiplantae; Streptophyta; Magnoliopsida; Malpighiales; Euphorbiaceae. The record is from RNAcentral.
AAGAACAGGAACAAAGAAAAAGUCUGCUUCCUCUCCAUUCAAUGUCCGAUGGGGGCUAGCUAACAUACUUUCAUAGAUUGCCAUCUGUGCACCAUACAGCUGGUCAGUCCAUACCGUAGCAUUCCUCUGAUCAUAGAUUCUGUUUAUGCAUUCUAGUUUAAAAUGACGUCCCUCCAGAAGAAGACUGUUGAAGUCUGGGGGCAAGUCAUAAACAUAUAAAAGGGGCCUUUUCUUCUCCACAAUAGCAUCUAAAUUGACAAGAUUUCCUUUGCUGUUCACAUUCUCGGGGACAGUAACCUGCGCUGGUCGUAGCCAGAGAGGCCACUCUCUAAUGGAUGACAAAACGGAGGGUACACUGCAAUCUGUUCCAAACCAACCACUGUCACACUGACAAAAUCCACCGCGACACAACCCGUGGCCGGAGCAUUGAUUUAUACAAGUGCUUAGUACAGACACCUCGCAGAAUCGACCCCAAAGACCAUCAUACUUGCAAUCACACUCUUCCUUGAAAAGCACCUUGGAGGCAUAUGCUUCUUCUGGAUCCACAUUACACCAUCCUCUUUUGCUACCGUUUGUUGUAAAGACAUCAAGAUCAGCUUUUGUGAAGUCAGUCACAGGAGCACCACCAGGUUUGGAUGGAGGAUUGAUUGUAAAGCCACAUGUCUCAGCAAGAGGACGAUUUGGGUAUUUUGUGCCGUCCCCACAAAAGCACAUUGCUCUAGUUGUGUCACAAUAAGCAGGACAAAUUGAGACAACCCAAUGCCCAAAAGGUUUCUCCUUUGAUCUAGGGUAGUUGCAACUCAACUCCUGCCUCUCAGCACAUUCUUCACCAGUGAAACCAUGAAAGCAUCGGCAUUGACCCAAUUCGCGAUUGCAGAUGCCUUGACCGCUGCAAUCAUUCCUGCAGCUCUUUCCACCAAUUUGCUCAAUGACUUUAACAGCAGAAGUAACUGAAUCACAACCAGCUAACCACUGACCAACCUCAUUCUUCCACGGAGCACCACGAUAUACGACACCAUUGUGUAAAUCAACAGCAAAUUUGGUUUGAUUUGAUAUAAUAUUGUUGUGGGUUGACUUAGUAGAAUUGAUAGGUAUACAAGAGUUCUGAUACUGCCUAAAGUAAUCAAAGGAAGGAACAAAAGGGUAGAAGAACAAAUGAACAACUGAAACCAAUGUCACUAUUAAAACAAUUAUUGUCACAGUAGACCAUGAAAACAUGCGUUUCUGAUUAAACAACAUCAUUUUCUCUUCAAAUCUUUAUAUUUAACCAUAUACCAAACCAAGAGUACCAAACCAAUUCGAGAAUUUUAAGCAACAAGCAUGUUCAAAUAAGCAGUUUGG